RNAcentral lists this transfer RNA (54 nucleotides) under Pingus sinensis. Its description in RNAcentral is "tRNA-Ser". The record is from RNAcentral. Lineage: Eukaryota; Metazoa; Nematoda; Chromadorea; Rhabditida; Quimperiidae.
AAAUUAAAUUUUAUGUUUUGAAAACAUAAUGUGGAAUUAUAAUUCCUUAAUUUA